GCUAGCUUGCUCGUGUUUUCUCCACAGCUGUUUCUCUACAAUCAACGGCGCUUUUUCAUUUUAACUCCUUUGGGGAAAAGCAAGAGGAAAGACCGUCAUACAGUCAUGUCUACAGUGGGUAAGUAAGCUUUUAAAAAGCAUAUAUCCUGUUUAAACCUAUUCUAAGAUAAGCCAGUCAUACAUUCAUGAAUUAAAAAAGUUUUUUUUUUGUUGUACGUAUUUUUAUAUAGUUUGCUUCAUUAGGUAAUUCCACAAGGAGGAGCAAUGUUGCCGUGAGAUUUGAUGAUACGCUUAUUCAGCAAGAUGUCGAGGCACCAUUGACGGAUCAAACACGCGGUUUCUUAAAUCAACCUGGGUAUCUGUUGGGAAAUAUAAAGCCUCAUCAUCCUGCGAGCAAUAAGAAAGCUGAAAACAGGCCGCCUAGCCCCCAAGAAGAAAGGGUCCGAAAGGGCGAGGGCUUUUCACUAGAUCACUGUGCGGAACUCCAUUGCAACGAGGAGCGGACAGUUACAUCAUUAAAUAGAUAUAACGAUGUAGGUAUUGUCAUCAAACCAAACCGACUAAGUAGGAAGUAUAGGAAGAGGAGUAAUCUGGUGAGUUGGAAAGAAAAUGUAAAAAUAGGGGCAUUGUAUUUUUAAAAAGGUUGUCUUCUCAUAAUGCUACGUUGUGUUUUCAGACAUCAGAGUCAAACCGGGGAGCUUUCCCGCCCAAAAGACCCCGCCCGGUCUUUGUUCAAGCUGAUCCACCCUUGAGCGUGAUAUUAAAGGGACAUAACAGCGGUAUAGAGCAGACAAAGCCAGUAACACCUUUGCUGAGCCAGCAUCCGUUGGCCGCGGGGGUAGUCACACCUGAGGUCGAGGUGCUACAACCCACACAGCGUGGCUCUAUUGACCGUGGACAAAGCCUUUGUCCUAUACAAAGGGGGGAGGCGUUGGAGACCAUUGAGAGAGCUGGUGAGAACCAGACAACAGACGGAUUUUUACAUCUGAGAGAGGUGUUAACCCCCCAUGACAACAAUGUGCUGAAUACGACCCCCUGCAUUCAUCAAAGCCCCGCA
Molecule: long non-coding RNA, 1057 nt
Organism: Sander lucioperca (pikeperch)
Lineage: Eukaryota; Metazoa; Chordata; Actinopteri; Perciformes; Percidae
Exons: 4
Source: RefSeq, a predicted model, not a curated record